UGGGGAAUUGUUCGCAAUGGGCGCAAGCCUGACGACGCAACGCCGCGUGGAGGAUGAAGAUCUUCGGGUCGUAAACUCCUUUCGAUCGAGACGAACGGCCUCCGGGUGAACAAUCCGGGGGAGUGACGGUACCGAGAGAAGAAGCCCCGGCUAACUCCGUGCCAGCAGCCGCGGUAAUACGGGGGGGGCAAGCGUUGUUCGGAAUUACUGGGCGUAAAGGGCUCGUAGGCGGCCAACUAAGUCGGACGUGAAAUCCCUCGGCUUAACCGGGGAACUGCGUCCGAUACUGGAUGGCUUGAGUUCGGGAGAGGGAUGCGGAAUUCCAGGUGUAGCGGUGAAAUGCGUAGAUAUCUGGAGGAACACCGGUGGCGAAGGCGGCAUCCUGGACCGACACUGACGCUGAGGAGCGAAAGCCAGGGGAGCAAACGGGAUUAGAUACCCCUGUAGUCC
Molecule: ribosomal RNA, 450 nt
Filed under: uncultured bacterium
Lineage: Bacteria
Description: bacterial SSU rRNA
Rfam family: Bacterial small subunit ribosomal RNA
Source: RNAcentral